RNAcentral lists this ribosomal RNA (492 nucleotides) under uncultured bacterium. RNAcentral describes it as "partial 16S ribosomal RNA". It matches the Rfam family "Bacterial small subunit ribosomal RNA", at positions 29 to 507 of the family's 1533-position model. The record is from RNAcentral.
AGUGAACGCUGGCGGUAGGCCUAACACAUGCAAGUCGAACGGCAGCACAGUAAGAGCUUGCUCUUACGGGUGGCGAGUGGAGGACGGGUGAGGAAUACAUCGGAAUCUACUUUUUCGUGGGGGAUAACGUAGGGAAACUUACGCUAAUACCGCAUACGACCUACGGGUGAAAGCAGGGGAUCUUCGGACCUUGCGCGAUUGAAUGAGCCGAUGUCGGAUUAGCUAGUUGGCGGGGUAAAGGCCCACCAAGGCGACGAUCCGUAGCUGGUGUGAGAGGAUGAUCAGCCACACUGGAACUGAGACACGGUCCAGACUCCUACGGGAGGCAGCAGUGGGGAAUAUUGGACAAUGGGCGCAAGCCUGAUCCAGCCAUACCGCGUGGGUGAAGAAGGCCUUCGGGUUGUAAAACCCUUUUGUUGGGAAAGAAAAGCAGCAGGUUAAUACCCCGCUGUUCUGACGGUACCCAAAGAAUAAGCACCGGCUAACUUCGUG